RNAcentral lists this long non-coding RNA (3123 nucleotides) under Homo sapiens (human). Its description in RNAcentral is "HSALNT0154371". Lineage: Eukaryota; Metazoa; Chordata; Mammalia; Primates; Hominidae. The record is from RNAcentral.
UGAGCUAACAUCCAUGCCAAGGCUAUUACGACUAGUAUAUUUCCACAGGCCAAGACUGAACAGGUUUGAAUUCCCAAAGAGUUCAAUGCAUUCUCCUGUGUUAUAAGCAGAUCAAAGAAUAAAAUCACUGUUUUGCUGCUCAGGCUGCCGUAACAAAGUGCCACAGACUGGGUGGAUUAAACAACAGAAAUUUAUUUUCUGACAGUUUUGGAGACUGGAAGUCCAAGAACAAGGUGUCAGAAGGCCUCUCUCCUUGACUUGCAGAUGAUCAGUUUCUCACCGUGUCUUCACAUGGUCUAUGCUCCAUGAGAGCAAGGACUUUGUCUGUCUUGCCUGCUGCAUUCUUCCUGGUUCCUGGAUAAGGGAUAGGAUCUCAACAAAUAUCCCAUGAAGGAAGGAUGGCUAGAUGGAUAACUGGCUGGAUGGAUAGUGUUCCUUCAUAAACCAUGAAGAUAUUCUGAAGAUUUCUGGAUUGAGAUGAUAAGAUUCUGGGGUUCAUCAGCUAAGAACAUCUCACUGAUCUGCAAAUACCUCCUUGGACACAAAAGCAGAAAAGAAUGACAGCCUUGAGGUUACACACACAAGGGCCCUGGAGCCAGCAGGCCUGAGUGCAAAUUCUGGCUGCUUUCCAGUGGCUGUGUGACCUUCGAUACAGGACGUCACUUAGCUGCCCAGGCUGCUCUUGAACUCCUGGACUCAAGCAAUUCUCCUGACUUGGCCUCCCAAACUGCAACAGGCAUGAGCCACUGCACACGGCUGAUGAGCUUUUUAUACAAGCAGAAUCAUGAAAUAUGAGAUUUUUGUGACUGACUUUUUUCAUGUAGCAUAAUGCUUUCAAGGUUCAUCCAUGUUAUGGCAUGUAUCAGUACUUCAUUCCUUUUUAUGGCCAAAUAAUAUUCCAUUUGGUGGAUAUACUACUUUUUCCAGUCAUCGGUUGAUGGACAUUUAGGUUGCUUCUACUUUUCAGCUAUUAUGAAUAAUGCUGCUAUGAAUAUUCAUGUGCAAGUUUUUAUACAGACAGACAUUUUCAGUUCUCUUGGUUACAUACCUAGGAGUAGAAUCACUUGGUGAUAUAGUAACUUAUGUUUAUUUUAACAUUUUAAGGAACUGCCAGAUGGUUUCCAGCACUUUGCAUAUUUUCACAUGGUAUCAUCCCACAUCUGCUUUUUCCACUCACUGUGUAUGUUUUGGAGAUUCCUCCAAUUUAAUACUUUGCUGUCAUUUAUUUAUUUUGAUGGUGGUACAGAGUACCAUUUGUGUGAACAAACCACCAUUUAUUCCCUUUCCCCUAUUGCUGGAUAUUUAGAUUCUUCCCAGCUUUCCAUUACCAUAAAUAACACUGCCACAAAUGGAGUUUCAAAGCUUUCCAUCUAUGGACCAAAUCUGCAGAGCAGGAGAGCCUCACAGACCACAGAGUAGCUACUGCUAGCUGACAACCCUCUCAAAACUCUUGGGAUGAUGGUUCUAACUUGUGGGUAGAGAGUUGGAGUGCAUGAACUAGAGGGAUGCAUCGGAAGAUGCCCGAAACAUAACUAAAGCUCUGAGACCACAGCAUGGUUGUGUAUAAUUAUUCCCAGUCAUUUGCUGCACUCCCUGGAAGAGAUCACCGUGGCUGCCCUGCUUGGCUUGGCUGUGAUUGGUGUGGCCUCAGGAUAUAAGCAGUAGUGAUGUAUGCAACACGGGAGCAGGAGUCUUGGAGCCAACCCUGUCACUCCCCUCUGCCAUGCGACAGGAGCAGCACAGCCCAGAUGAGAGCUGCAUCCUCAGCCUGGAUCUCAGAAUAAAAAGCCCAUGGAGCAGAGCCACAGUUGGCCCACAGGGACCUACAGAGUGAGCCAAACACACUCGCAGUGUUGUAAGUCUCUGAGAUACUGGUGUUGCAGCACAACUGAACAAAAUCUCAUGGGAGAAGUCUCUUCUUUAUCAUCAUCCCAACUGAACUCUCUUCAGUUUUGACCUAGGCAUCCACCUGCCUAAUUUUUAAACCCUUUUAGGCAUCAUUCAAACUAACGUGCAUUUGCCAUAGACUCUGUAUAUGACCCAGUCCAGAACUUGGGGUUGAAAAGCACAAGGAAUAUAAUAAUAGCUAGUGAUCCUGAGAGCCUGCUCUGGGCCAGCUGCUGCAACAGGCACUUGUGCAGAUAGAGUGUCAGUUGUCCUCGUGUUACCCGAAGGAGGCAGGCAUUACAACUCUCCCCAAUUCAUUGAUGAGGAAAUUGAUGUGCCAAGGUGUUUAAUAACAAGACUAAGGUAAUACUUGAUCUAGCAAGAGGCAUUUGGAGGAACUGUACCCAAGCACGCUGACUCCUGUAUCCUAUAAGUCACACCGUUUUCAUCCAGUGAGCUUGCAGACGUGCAGUGAGAAAAUGUUCUUCCAUCAUGCCACCACUGUUUGGGGGGCAUAGAGCACAUGCCAGCCUCUGUGCCAGGACUGGGCGAAAGUAAGCCAGACAGACACAAAUCCUACAAUUCUUACCCUGAGGGAGACGAAAAGAGAGGAAGAAAAUAUUUUCCUCCACUGGUUUUUGUUUUUUAUAGUUUCAGGGGGCACAUGUACAGGUUACAUGGAUAUAUUGUGUAAUGGUGAGGUUGGGCUUCUGGUGAACCCAUCACCCGAAUAGUAAACAUUGCAUCUAAUAGGUAAUUUUUCAACCCUCACCCUCCUCCCACCCUUCUGGAUUUUGGAGUCACCAGUGUCUAUUAUUUCCCUCUUUAUGUCCAUGAGUAACCAUUGUUUAGCUCCCACUUAUAAGUGAGAACACACGGUAUUUGAUUUUCUGUUUCUGAGUCAUUUCACUUAGGAUAAUGGCCUCCAGCUCCAUCCAUGUUGCUGCAGAAGAUGUGAUUUCAUUCUUUUUUAUGGCUGUGGGGGGAAAACAUUUUUAACUAAUUACAUCUUAUUUAUAAGAAAUAUCUAGAAUAGGCAAAUCAUAGAGACAGAAAGAUGAGUGUUUCCCGGGGUAUGGAGGAUGGGGAGUGACCGUUUAAAGUGUAUGGGGUUUCCUUUUGAGAUGAUGAAAAUUUCUGGAACUAGAUAGCAGUGAUGGUUGAGCAACACUGUGAAUGUACCGAACGUCACAAAUAGCAAAUUUUAUGCACGUUUCAGCACAAUGAAAAUAAAAC